RNAcentral lists this ribosomal RNA (215 nucleotides) under uncultured bacterium. Its description in RNAcentral is "partial 16S ribosomal RNA". It matches the Rfam family "Bacterial small subunit ribosomal RNA", at positions 524 to 736 of the family's 1533-position model. The record is from RNAcentral.
UACGAAGGGGGCUAGCGUUGCUCGGAAUUACUGGGCGUAAAGCGCACGUAGGCGGUCUUUUAAGUCGGGGGUGAAAUCCUGGAGCUCAACUCCAGAACUGCCUUCGAUACUGGAAGACUUGAGUCCGGGAGAGGUGAGUGGAAUUCCGAGUGUAGAGGUGAAAUUCGUAGAUAUUGGGAAGGAAACACCGGUGGCGAAGGCGGCUCUCUGGACCA